RNAcentral lists this long non-coding RNA (1632 nucleotides) under Canis lupus familiaris (dog). RNAcentral describes it as "lncRNA (ENSCAFG00040018552.1)". The record is from RNAcentral. Lineage: Eukaryota; Metazoa; Chordata; Mammalia; Carnivora; Canidae.
CUCUGGAAGGGCGGGGGGCUGGGGGUACGUUCACCCCUCCCCCCUCCGGCCCCCCAACACGCCCCCAGGCCUCCCUUGCCCCUUACCCUAGCCCGGGGCCGGGCCCGGGCCCCGCGGCGCGCUCCGAGACGCGACCAGCACGGCGGCGCCCCCACCCCCAGCUCCUCCCGGGGCGGGGAAGCAGGGGCCGCGGGCGGGGAGGGGGCCGCAGGAGCGCGGGGCCCGGGCGCGGCGCCCCCCACCCUCGCCACCCGGAGCGGCUGCAGCGCGAGCGCUCCCGCCGGGGACCGGGCGGCCGGGCGUGGGUCGGGAGCUUGGCUCUCCGGGACAGCCCGCCUCCCCGGCGGGGCGCGCGGGGGGCGGGGGGCCGCGGCAGGGAAACCCGAUCCACAACAUCGGCCACGGUCCAAGCCCGCCCCAAACUUUCCGUCGGGGGUGGGGGAGCCGGGGGCAGUUCGGGGGCCCGGAGAGGAUCCCGGCCGCCGGCCCGACAGCACGGGGUCCCCUCUCCCCUUCGCCCCGCUGUCCCUGGCCAGUCCGCGCCUCCGGACGCUACGGCUGCGGGCGCUGCCUCCCGGCUCCCGACCCCCGCCAGGCAGCUCGCGGGGGGCGCAGGAGGGAUCCCGGGCGGACUGCCGUCCCCGCCGCCACCCGCGCCUGCGCCCCCGGACCCUGUCCUCCGCGCGGGCGGCCGCCCCUGCCCGAGUCGGGGACAAAGCGGCGGCCCCGGAGCCCCGGCGCUCCCGCCCCGCGCAAGCCCGGCCUCACUCACCUCUUCUGCGCGGCUUGAAUCCCUGGGCGCCGCCCUCGCGUUCGGCUCGGAUCGCGGUCCGCCCCCACGCGCGCCGCCGCCCGCCCGCCCGCCCGCGCGCGCCCGCCCGCCCUCCUUCGCUGUCCCCUCCGCCCCCGCCCCUCGGUCCCGGCUCGGCUCGGCGCCCCUGGGCUCGGGCUCCCCGCGCCACCGCGCCACCGCGCCACCGCGCCGGGCGCCGGCUCUUUCUCCGGCGCUGCCGCCGCUCUCCGCCCCCUGCCCCUGACGUCAGGCGCGGGGGGGCGUCAGCCGAGGCCGGGGGCGGGACGCAAAGGCCAGCGCCGGAGGGGGCUGCGACCCGCCGCGACCCGCGGGGCCCCCGGCUCCCCUCCCGCGCGCUCCGACCCCCGCCCCUGCCCGCGCCCCGCCGCCCCGCCGCCCCGCCGCCCCGCGCCUCGGAGUCGCCGUCUGCGCCACAGCGCGCGGAGGUGGGGCGGGGGAGGGACCCCGGGCACUGCCUUGGGGGUUCGGACUCACCCGGCCCUUCCGAGGAGUCCAGCGCCCCCGCAAGGCCACCCGCGGGCCGGGCGCCUGGGCUCGGGAAUGGGGCCGAGGAGCGCCCACGCUGCGGUCACAGGAACCAACGCGGGCAAGCCACCUCGGGGCGAGUAUCCCAGGGAGGGGAGCGGGGGAAACCGAGGCUCUUCUUUGGGGCGGACCAGAGUGGUUUCUCUUUUGACCCCAGGGCCCCCCGGCUCCCCGCAGUCACGCUGGAACGAGUCUUACCAGCCGGGAAGACCCACUUAUCUCCGGGGAGUCUGCCCCUCGGUCUUCAUGCUCCACACCGAGGGACAGCGGCGCGCUUGCCCGGCUCCCGGUGA